CCUACGGGAGACAGCAGUGAGGAAUAUUGGUCAAUGGGCGCGAGUCUGAACCAGCCAUGCAGCGUGCAGGAUGACGGCUCUAUGGGUUGUAAACUUCUUUUGUACGGGGGUAAACUCAGAUACGCGUAUCUUUCUGAAAGUAUCGUACGAAUAAGGAUCGGCUAACUCCGUGCCAGCAGCCGCGGUAAUACGGAGGAUCCGAGCGUUAUCCGGAUUUAUUGGGUUUAAAGGGUGCGUAGGCGGUCUGAUAAGUUAGAGGUGAAAUCCCGAGGCUCAACUGCGGAAUUGCCUCUGAUACUGGUCGGCUAGAGAGUAGUUGCGGUAGGCGGAAUGUAUGGUGUAGCGGUGAAAUGCUUAGAGAUCAUACAGAACACCGAUUGCGAAGGCAGCUUACUAAGCUACUUCUGACGUUGAGGCACGAAAGCGUGGGGAGCAAACAGGAUUAGAUACCCUUGUAGUC
Molecule: ribosomal RNA, 460 nt
Filed under: uncultured bacterium
Lineage: Bacteria
Description: partial 16S ribosomal RNA
Rfam family: Bacterial small subunit ribosomal RNA
Source: RNAcentral